This 293-nucleotide signal recognition particle RNA is filed under the name Saimiri boliviensis boliviensis (Bolivian squirrel monkey). RNAcentral describes it as "Metazoan signal recognition particle RNA (ENSSBOG00000000140.1)". It matches the Rfam family "Metazoan signal recognition particle RNA". From Rfam's summary of the family: The signal recognition particle (SRP) is a universally conserved ribonucleoprotein. It is involved in the co-translational targeting of proteins to membranes. The record is from RNAcentral. Lineage: Eukaryota; Metazoa; Chordata; Mammalia; Primates; Cebidae.
ACCAAGCAUUGGCAUGCACCUGUAGUCCCAGCUGCUCCGGAGGCUGAGGCAGGAGGAUCGCUUGAGCCCAGGAGUUCUAAGCUCUAGUGUGCUAGGCUGAUCAGGUGUCUGCACUAAGCUUUGGCAUCAAUAUGGUGACCUCCUGGCGCAGGGAACCACCAGGUUGCCUAAGGGGUGGUGAACUGGCUCAGGUCAGAACCCCCUGUGCUGAUAAAUAGUGGGACUGCGCAUUACAAUACAGUAUGAACAGCUGCUGCACUCCGGCCAGGACGACAUAACAAGACUCCAUCUCU